GGCAAAUCCAUUGUCCAAGUACCAAAAUCCCACUUGAAAGGGCACCUUCAUUUCAACAAGCUACUUAUCAGAAUCUACACCCUCACGUCGAAGCAUAUCUACCGCCACAUUCCCACCAUCUUCUCUACGGCUUAGGACCACCAAAUUAAUUCAACUAACGUUCACAUCUGAAUUCAUUUCUCCGGAAGACCAUUGGGGCACAUGGACAGUUCUCCUACCACCGGGCGUUUUCGGUUGUCUUGGAAUUCCUACCGCCGCUAGCGGUUCCUUUGCUCUUGUUU
Molecule: unclassified non-coding RNA, 281 nt
Filed under: Hevea brasiliensis (rubber tree)
Lineage: Eukaryota; Viridiplantae; Streptophyta; Magnoliopsida; Malpighiales; Euphorbiaceae
Source: RNAcentral